GAUCAUGGGCUCAGGAUGAACGCUGGCGGCGUGCCUAACACAUGCAAGUCGAGCGAUCUCUUCGGAGAGAGCGGCGGACGGGUGAGUAACGCGUGGGUAACCUGCCCUGUACACACGGAUAACAUACCGAAAGGUAUGCUAAUACGGGAUAAUAUAUAAGAGUCGCAUGACUUUUAUAUCAAAGAUUUUUCGGUACAGGAUGGACCCGCGUCUGAUUAGCUUGUUGGCGGCGUAACGG
RNAcentral lists this ribosomal RNA (238 nucleotides) under uncultured bacterium. Its description in RNAcentral is "partial 16S ribosomal RNA". It matches the Rfam family "Bacterial small subunit ribosomal RNA", at positions 15 to 263 of the family's 1533-position model. The record is from RNAcentral.